This 1530-nucleotide ribosomal RNA is filed under the name Salmonella enterica subsp. enterica serovar Oranienburg. Its description in RNAcentral is "bacterial SSU rRNA". It matches the Rfam family "Bacterial small subunit ribosomal RNA". The record is from RNAcentral. RNAcentral also lists the same sequence under 1 other name. Lineage: Bacteria; Pseudomonadati; Pseudomonadota; Gammaproteobacteria; Enterobacterales; Enterobacteriaceae.
AGAGUUUGAUCAUGGCUCAGAUUGAACGCUGGCGGCAGGCCUAACACAUGCAAGUCGAACGGUAACAGGAAGCAGCUUGCUGCUUUGCUGACGAGUGGCGGACGGGUGAGUAAUGUCUGGGAAACUGCCUGAUGGAGGGGGAUAACUACUGGAAACGGUGGCUAAUACCGCAUAACGUCGCAAGACCAAAGAGGGGGACCUUCGGGCCUCUUGCCAUCAGAUGUGCCCAGAUGGGAUUAGCUUGUUGGUGAGGUAACGGCUCACCAAGGCGACGAUCCCUAGCUGGUCUGAGAGGAUGACCAGCCACACUGGAACUGAGACACGGUCCAGACUCCUACGGGAGGCAGCAGUGGGGAAUAUUGCACAAUGGGCGCAAGCCUGAUGCAGCCAUGCCGCGUGUAUGAAGAAGGCCUUCGGGUUGUAAAGUACUUUCAGCGGGGAGGAAGGUGUUGUGGUUAAUAACCGCAGCAAUUGACGUUACCCGCAGAAGAAGCACCGGCUAACUCCGUGCCAGCAGCCGCGGUAAUACGGAGGGUGCAAGCGUUAAUCGGAAUUACUGGGCGUAAAGCGCACGCAGGCGGUCUGUCAAGUCGGAUGUGAAAUCCCCGGGCUCAACCUGGGAACUGCAUUCGAAACUGGCAGGCUUGAGUCUUGUAGAGGGGGGUAGAAUUCCAGGUGUAGCGGUGAAAUGCGUAGAGAUCUGGAGGAAUACCGGUGGCGAAGGCGGCCCCCUGGACAAAGACUGACGCUCAGGUGCGAAAGCGUGGGGAGCAAACAGGAUUAGAUACCCUGGUAGUCCACGCCGUAAACGAUGUCUACUUGGAGGUUGUGCCCUUGAGGCGUGGCUUCCGGAGCUAACGCGUUAAGUAGACCGCCUGGGGAGUACGGCCGCAAGGUUAAAACUCAAAUGAAUUGACGGGGGCCCGCACAAGCGGUGGAGCAUGUGGUUUAAUUCGAUGCAACGCGAAGAACCUUACCUGGUCUUGACAUCCACAGAACAUUCCAGAGAUGGAUUGGUGCCUUCGGGAACUGUGAGACAGGUGCUGCAUGGCUGUCGUCAGCUCGUGUUGUGAAAUGUUGGGUUAAGUCCCGCAACGAGCGCAACCCUUAUCCUUUGUUGCCAGCGGUCCGGCCGGGAACUCAAAGGAGACUGCCAGUGAUAAACUGGAGGAAGGUGGGGAUGACGUCAAGUCAUCAUGGCCCUUACGACCAGGGCUACACACGUGCUACAAUGGCGCAUACAAAGAGAAGCGACCUCGCGAGAGCAAGCGGACCUCAUAAAGUGCGUCGUAGUCCGGAUUGGAGUCUGCAACUCGACUCCAUGAAGUCGGAAUCGCUAGUAAUCGUGGAUCAGAAUGCCACGGUGAAUACGUUCCCGGGCCUUGUACACACCGCCCGUCACACCAUGGGAGUGGGUUGCAAAAGAAGUAGGUAGCUUAACCUUCGGGAGGGCGCUUACCACUUUGUGAUUCAUGACUGGGGUGAAGUCGUAACAAGGUAACCGUAGGGGAACCUGCGGUUGGAUCACCU